AUCACCCUGCCGUGUUCGAGAUUGCCAUAUAUUCUAUGAACCAUUCCCGAGCAUCGGUUGCGGGAUAUUGUCCGGUGGGUGUGAUCGUCGCUUGUUCGACGAACCCGAGACCAGACUGACCGUGACCCCCUUGAACCACAGGUUCAAGAUGCCGGCAUGACGGCACAGGCGGGGAACC
RNAcentral lists this non-coding RNA (178 nucleotides) under Burkholderiaceae bacterium. Its description in RNAcentral is "6S RNA". It matches the Rfam family "6S / SsrS RNA". From Rfam's summary of the family: E. coli 6S RNA was the first non coding RNA to be sequenced, but its function was unknown until recently. It consists of 184 nucleotides that fold into an extended hairpin structure with a large single-stranded internal bulge. The record is from RNAcentral. Lineage: Bacteria; Pseudomonadati; Pseudomonadota; Betaproteobacteria; Burkholderiales; Burkholderiaceae.